CUGCUUUCCUUGAUAUCCCAAUUUUUUAUAGAGAAAAAGAUAAAGUAUAUUCUUGUGAGUAGCAGCCAUAAAAAAAUGCUGAUUAAAAAAAUGCCAAUCCUCCUGAGUUUGUUUGCUAAUACAUAUUUUUAUUGCUCAUUUCUAUAAAUUAUAAGCCCUCUUUUCACCACACAGCAAAUAUGUAAUUAUGAAAAUGUCAUUGUACAAGGUAUGAUAAUCUGCAGCUUUGGUUUAUUUUAGAUCAAACUAGAUCCUAGCUCAAACUUUUAUGAAAUCACUUUACCCAUUUCUGAAAGAGGUACUUAUUUUGAUACAACAAAACAUCUUUUACAUUACUACAUAAUGCUUUAUGCAUUAUCAACAGAGAAAUUCAACAAAGUUGAAAUUUCUAUUAGCCUUAACCCAUCUUACGGGGUAUUUUGGUUUCAGAAUUUUUAACACUUUUCAGGAAUUAUGCUCAAAAAUAGCCCUCAUUUGUGUGUGUGUGCCUCAUUACUUUAGAAAAUUUUUUUACCACACUUACAUUGCACAUGAUUUUAAGAUAAAAGGUGUUUAAAAACUACAUAAACUAAAUAUUUUGCUUGGUUGCUGAAUAUUCCCAUCUUUGCCACAAUUUGCAAAUAUUUCUGAAAAUUUUAUUGCAUUAUUCCUUUAUUAUAUAGGGCUUUAUUUCCCUUCUUUGCUUAUAAGGAGUGAAAAAUGUCAAUUCAUUCAAAAUAUACAUAUCUCUGCCAAUACUCCUAAAGUCAUACAAGAACUAAACACAUAAAGCAAGGGAAAUAGUCAGUGAAAUAUGCAUUUAUGACUUUCACGUUUUGGAUUGUAAUUCUUUCUGCUGGGGCAAUUUGAAACAGGCAUUUUGCAUAUAGCAUCUCAAUAAAAUUAUCACAUUUUGAGGUAGAUGUUACAUUCAUUUUAAUGUCGAGCAAACUAAGGCAGAGAGAGAUUAAUUAAAAAAAAUUAAACCAAAAGUUUUAAAAUUAAACCAAAGUUACAGUUAAGUAGCAGUAGGGCCAAUCUGACUCCUUCCUAUUUUUCAAUUCCUACUGUCUCCUAAAGAUGUUUUCUUUCUUUCACUAUGAGAAAGUGAAGUAAAGGCGAUAGAAAUACUUUUCAUAUACCUACCUAUUCUCACCAAGUUUACUCUCAUAUUUCUGAGUCAUCGGGGAAGAUUUUAAUAUUCACAACUAUAUCAACUACCUUUAAACAAAAGUUAGAAGUCCUGAGGUUUUCAAAACCCAGGACUAGAAAAAUCGCAAACCUAUUUUCCUUGGCACCUUGUUUCGUAAUAUAUGCUAUAUAUUUGAAACUUUCAGAAUAUGCCACAAAUAAAAACUAACUCACGACUUUUUUUCUAGCUCUAACAAAAACUCUUCCCACAAUUUUUUUUCUUGAAUGUUUUCUGUCAUUUAACCACUCUCUCACAUCCAUGAUUUUUAUCAAGUACAAUGGUAUUCUUUUCACUGCUUAGUGUUAUCCAUUAACAAAAUGCGAUAAAGUAAUUUUAAUUACAUCACAAUUUUUUUUUUGCCAUUGAAAUCACAAUUGAGACUUAAAUCACUUUGUUUUGGGGCUUUUGAUAUACAAACAAUUCAUAAUUUCUUAAAAAUUCUUAAACAUAAGUCAAAACAAGUACACAGCUACUAUGUUCUAAUGUCAAGUCUAAAAUGUAAAAAGAAAUAACGAAAUAAUGUUUAGACUUCUAAACUUUAGAUUAUUUAAAACCGCCACUGUUACAUAAAGCGAAAAUGAUAGUUUACAAGACAUAACGAAAUUCGGAUAUUAAAAUACGCAAAAUAUACACAGGUCCAUUUCUUAAGGGAACGUGGAAAAUUUAACACACUUCAAAUAAUGGUCGUGGGAUGUUUUUCGCUUAUUUUUAAUGCACCAGAUUUAUUUACCAAUUCAAAGGAUCUCUUAUGGGGAGAUACUUAAAACAUCCCCGGCGGUAAACAAAUCAAAUAUAUUAGAUGUAUAAGGACCAGAGCCGGGGCAGAUGCGAGUUCCUAAGUUAUAAAUACUACCUUUUCAAUAAAAAGGUGGUAUUAUAUAGGAUCUCCAAGGAAUAUCGACGUAUAAAAAAAAAUACUGAGAAUGCUGACCACCAAAGAGAUAACAGGUGAAGGCUUUAGGGGACUGAAGAAUGAGCAACAAACCCAACCAACUCAAAAUGCAUUAUUCAUCCUCCAAAGAACCGAAACAGAGGAAAAAAUACAACAGGUCCUCGCAACACCGAGAGAAGUUUAAGCCUUAGGAGGUGGGGACCAGCACCCCUUCCUCGCUGUUUCAAAACUCCGUUGCUAAGCCUCCCUCCGCGGAAACCAGCAGGCGCAGGAAGCAGGUGCUCCGUCCACUUGGGGCCUCCACAGGGCCCGCAUCCUUCUCGGCCUCGGCGCGCAGCACGCGAAGCGCCCCCGGAAGUGCCAGGGGCGGGCGGGGGCGGGCGCUAGCUGGGGAGCCGCGCGCGGAGUGGGAGGGGCGGCGCGCGGAGUGGGAGGGGCCGCACGAGGCCACGCCCCUCCCGGCUGCGUCCGCGGGCUACAGCCAGGGCUCUGGGGGUUCCGGGGUCACGGCUCGGAUCCCCGAGCCAGGUUCGUGCGGAGCCGGCUCCUCCUUGUCCCCGCGCGGACGCGGCCCCCGCUGCUCCAGGUGCAGCUGCAGCAGGGCGCGGCGGUACAUGGCCUCCAGCUUCUCCAGCCGGGCUCGCAGGGCCCGCGGGCUGCCCGGCUCGUCCCCGGGGCCGCCGCCUCUAGCCCUGCGGUUCCUGCCGGCCUCCUCGGAGCCCGGGGUCGCCCUGGCCGCCUCCGCGGGCGCCCCGUCGGCGCCCUCGCCGGGGAGCCGCAAGGCCUGACGGAAGAGGCUGCGGUUCUCGCGCUUCAGCCGCCGGUUCUCGAGCCGCAGCCGGGCGUUCUCCUCGCGCAGCCGCGCGUUCUGCCGGUCCCGCUCGUCCCGCGCGCGCAGGGCCUCCAGGUGGCUGGCGGCUAGGUCAGCGAACCGCUCCUCCAGCUGCUGGCGGCUGCCGCCCGCCCGGCCUCGCCAGCCCGCGCCGCUGCCGUCGCCGCCCCCGCGAACCCGGCCCGGGCGGCUCUGCCCGCCGCAGCAGCUCCCGCGCCUGCCGGCGCCAGCACGCAUGCGCCACAUCGGGCCGGUGCCGCCAGCGCCGGGGGCCGGGGCCUGGGGCAGUGGGGCGGCCUGGGCGCUAGCGGAGGAGGAGAGGCGGUGGCGGGCGGCGGCUGCUGGCCUGCAGCCAGAGGAGGCCGGGAGUUGGCCGGGCCCGAGGCGGGUCUUGUCUCCGGUGGUGGAGCUGCCCCCGGGCCUGCGGUCUCGGGCCCGGCGCACACACCGUGUCCCCGGGGCGCGCGGGGAUGCUGUGUCCUCCGCGGAGCUCGGCCCAGGCGCGGCGGGCACCAGCCGGCCUGCGCCGCUCUCCCCGCCGCCACCAGCGGCUACCUGGCUCUUUCCUUGGCAAUCUCAAAGCAAAUGAUCGUAAAAGGAUAAGGUCUGGGCCAGAGAGAUGGGGCAAGGUGGGAAGCUGUGACUGCCUCGUUAGAACAGAGUGGUGUAGCCCACCUCGAAGCUUCCAACGUUUAACCGAGCUGAGACGAGCGCCUGGCAUGAGGCCCUCAAGUGGGAACAGGGAGCUCUCGAAAGAAUAUGGCCAAUUCCGAAUUUGUGAACAGCUAGGACUCCACUUAGCAAAUUGUUGGCAGUUCUGUAGAAACAAGGUUGUAAUUAGUUGAUUUGUUCAGGACUGUUCACAAAACCUAGGAAACUCAGAAUGUGCCCCUUCCAUUCAAGAAACUUGGAAUACUCAGUUCCAAAAUUUCUGAGGACAGGUGGAUAGAACUCAUCGAAUGAAUCACAUUCCUUGUUUUUGAGGGAUUCAACUUACGAAAUAAUUGGAUUAUUGCAAUGUAAAUUAAGGAUAAAAUACUAUGCCAAAAUCUCCUGGGGCAGAGAGGCAGCAGCAAGAAUGUACAUUUUAAACAAGGUUCGAGGUUAUUCUGCGGUUCACUGCAGUCUCCAAACCACUUGAGAAAGUAAAUGGACAAGAAGAGCAGAUGAGAACUCUAGUUCACAGAGUUGGCGUUUUCAUUGAACUGUACAAAUAAGUAACUAGGGGAAUAUAUAGAGUUACUCAAUUUUUUAUACUUUUAGUUGCCAAAUAAGAUCCUAAAACACCACAAACAUAGAAAUCUCUCAGUUGUCACCAUGAUUUCAUGAAAUAAAGUAGGAAGGAUAUAAUUUCAGAAUUUCAAAAAAUAUAAAUUUAGUUUUAUGAAAGACCAUAUCAUUCUUAGUUUCCUUAAACAGUGAAAACUUUGUUGCAGACAUGCGCAGACUGCUCUAUGGAUCAUUGAACAAAACAAUAUGUUUUUUCCCUAGUGUAUAUAGAGAAUGCAGGAGAUAAUGCUGGUGUGUAAGGAAAGAGGAUUAGUUCUUAAUUUUAGACGUUGAAUUUUAGGGACCUAUGAGAUAAGAAGACAGGCCAUGUAAGGUAAAAAAAAAAAAAAAAAAAAAAAAAACUACAUAACGCUUCAGUCACCUACACAUUUGUAAACCUACCAGUAUUCUCUUUUUGCAGCUUCCCAGAUUAAAUCUGUUCUGUUACCGUUGUAGAAUAUCUUCUAAAUUUUAGUAACUCACCACUGUAAUGAGCCAUUGUGGGUUUCCUAAAGAGCAUUGAUGCUGGUUCUGUGAGAAGGCGUCCAUGCCCUCCUCUUUACACGUGAGCGAACCCCGAAGUACUCUCUUUUGCCUUGAUAAAUUAAUGAAUUGAUAUAAAAUACUAUGAAAAGCAGGUAAAACUGACUAAGCAGAAGAGCCAGUAAAAUUGUCAGACCGUUAGUUAUAUUUUAACAGUAACUAAUCUGAGUAUACAUGUAUCCUUCCCAAAGACAGAAUUCGUUAAUACCACUCUGAGUCAGGUAUUACUAGAAAGGAAGGAAGACAGGAAAUGAAAAAUAAAACGUGGGGGGGAGUAGAAAAAAUUGAUCCAACAAAAAGCUGUCAAUAACAAUCAUGAAGGUUAUCUGUGCAUAGCAAUGAAUAUUCACCUCAUGGUUAAAGGAGAUUCCACCCAUCUUCCUGAGUAGGAGGCAGAGACAAUGGAUGUGAUUGCUAAUUGAAAGAUUUGGGACAAGUGAGUUACUGAAAUGGCUACUACCAAAAUUGUUGUUUGUCUUUAAUUUUACUUAGAAUAGUAUGUCAAGAAAUGUGUACCUGAAGAUGCACAUUGCAUCAUUUCUAAAUGUAGCAGUAGCACAAAACUUAGUAAAAAUGCUUGUGCCUGCUAUUAUUUGUUAGUAGUCUACUGAUGAAAAUAUUAUUGCACAAAUAAUAUAACAUGUAUAUGAAAAUAAAAUGGGAAAAAUCUCAGAAAGAAUUUAUGAAACUAAUAAAAUUUAGAAGAAAUGUGGAGAUAUAGUAAUCCUUAGAAGAAGAGAAUAUAGAAAAAUACAUGAGCUUUUAAUUAGAAAAAUAUAUGAGAUAGAUGCCAGUACUUUCUUUUAAGAAUGGGAGUUUCUAAAAUUACUUGCAUGCUACAUAGAACAAAGUUUCAAAGGACGUAGAUUGCUCUUUCCUGAUAUCAUGUACAUCAUCCUUUAAGCUGGUUUAACUUGAGAAAAAGAGGUAAGAAUUCUAUAAUAAAUUUGACAUAAAAAAUAACUCCAAGGACUAUUUGUACUUUCUCUUUAGAAAACUCUAAAGCUGAAGAUUAUUCUUUGACUAAGGUUAUGAAGUUUGGAGUAGAAGAGCAGAAAAAUGCAAGUAAGUCAUUUAGAGUACUUUUUUUUUGCUACUUUUUUGAAACAACUUAUUUUUUUAUUAAGGGGACUUUUUGUAAGUAUUUAUGUUUCCCCCCUACACACAUCCUCAAUGCCCUCUCUAAUUAUUCAACAACUUAAAUUUCAUUUUUAAAAAUUGUUCUCUCUCCUAUUUUAGGUAAGAGAAGAAAGAUGAACCAGUAAGAGUAAAGUCAUUGUACUUUUUAAUAUAAUGCCUUAAACCAACAGUUUUGUGACUACCGUAGUUGAGAAAAGCUGUGUCAGCAAACUGGAAUGGCAGUGGUUUUUGCCUUACACAUCCUGCAUCUAUUUUAGUAUUUCUCAAAACCAACUUUGAUUGAUACCAUUUAAGUAUGUUGCUCCCUUUCUUCCAUCCUCCAAACAAAUUGUUCUUUCCAUACAUGGUAGCCAUUACGUAUUUCUAGGUGCUUGCUUGACAAGGAAGCCCUAUCAUAUAUAUAGUUUGUAUCCUGUAUUCCCAGUUGAUUUCUAAGAUUCUUUUAUUGCCAUACUCAUUUGACCCUCAUUUUUCCAUUUUGAAUCACAUCUCUUAUAAAAUAAGUCAUAUGUUAGGGUAAUUUAUGGCACAUUCACGUUGGGACAAGUCAUCCUAUAUCCAAUACCUUUCUGUUGCCUCUCUCCUUAAAACAUACUAUAAUGUCUCACCAAAUGAAGUCUGGUUAACAACUUUGGUCAAGUUCCGUCAUGUCAAAGUGUUGAGCUCCUUGGUCUGGCAGUUACAGCUGUCCAUAAUCUGGAUGACUGGGUGUUUCCAUGCUUACCUUCCAUUACUCCCCUUCUGGUCCAUUCACUAUCCUACCAAGAGUUAUUGAGUUCUUUUGCCUUGGAGUUUGGUUAUAAUGUACCUUCUGUGGACUGAGUUGUGUCUCCCCAAAAUUCGUAUAUUGAAGCCCUGACUGCCAGUGUGAGAGUGUUUGCAGAUUGGGAAGUUAUUAGGUUUAGAGGAGGUCCUGAGGGUCAGGCUCUCAUGAUAGCAUUAGUGACAGUAGAAGAAGAGAUGUCAGAAAGCUUGCUUCCCCUGUCUUCCCGCCACUUGAGUACACAGCCAGAUGGUGGCCAUCUGCAAGCCGGGAGGAGAGCCUUCAUGGGGAACUGAAUCAGCCGGUACCUUGAUCUUGGACUUGCCAGCCUCCAGAACUGUGGGAAAUAAAUUCCUGCCUUUCAUUUUUUUCUCACUUAUCUGGAUUGUAAAGAAUCCAUCAAGGUAAAAUUUAUACUCUACCAUUUCAUAUAUUUGUCUUAGAUCCCCUGAACUCGGGGUGCUUUUCCCCUCUUUUAAACAUUGACAAAGUCAUUCCUGUUCCAGUAAUUUGAGGCCGAGGUCUUUGCCUCUGUUAACAUUUCUUGUGCAAACGGAUCUGCAAAUAGGAUGUGAGUUCCUGGAGCACCUUAUAUUGUGUGUGUGAUACAAAUAUUUCUUGAGUGGCUAGAAUGUUGAAAGCAUUUAUUCCUCAUUUUAUUCUAUAAUCUUAAAAGAAGACUUCACCAAGUAAAACUACUAACCAUUUAAUAGUCAAAGUUAACCUGUAAUAUCCAGAAGACUGAGCUAAUUGAAACUUACCAAGGAAGGUUUGUAGAAUGCUAGAAUUAGCCAGACUGAAAUAGGAAGGAGAUUGGCACUGCCUUAUUAAUGACAAGCCUUGUUAAUGACUUGUCGUAAUAUAUACUAUAUAUAUAGUGGGUCUUUAUAUGUAGAGUUUUAAAUAUGUAAUGAAUAAGAGUUAUGGGUUUUAGAGUAAGAUAUACUUUAAUUUGAUAAAUACCACAACCCUCCAAGAUAUAUGGCCUUGGACAGCCUCCUAAAGCCACAGUUUCUUAAUUUGUACAAUGGAAAUGAAAUAGUGUCUACCUCAUGGGGUUCUUGUGAGGAUCACUGAAUAUCUUAAUAUAGAGUCAGCCAGCAAGGAGGACUCAAUAACUCUUGAUAGUAUUAUUAUUAUUAUUUUGUAAUUGUUUUUAUUUUAUUAGAGAUUUAUAGAAUGGGUUCUUGUGAAUAGCCAGUGCUAUUUAAAAUCCCCAUUUGAAUUAGUUGCCUAAGGAGCCACCGCCAAAAUAAUAUCCCCUUUCCAGAUAUGAUUCUUAUUUCUUGAUAGUUCUCAUUAAGUGUUUGGGUUUUAAAAAUCCAUAUUUUGCAAGCCCACGUGCUGAAGAAUUUGGUUAAUCAUUCUGAGGUUGGUGUUUGCUAAUAUUCUCUCUAAAGCCCUAGCUGAGCAUGCUUUAUUUUCUGGGAGCCAAUUUAUUAGGGCUAUCAAGAGCAUGUAUUGAUGCUUGGUUGCAUGAAUAUCUCUUUAUUGCAAUAAUUACUAGAGAGUUAGGAGUUGAGAAUAUUGAUUGCAUUUAUUUAGUCUUUUGAUAUGGACAAAAGUAUUAAAAGCCAUCAAACACUAGCAUUGCCCUUUGACAGCAUCAUUUAAUUCUAGCUGCAGGGAAAAUUGUGACAUAAACAAAAGCAGCAUGACUUACCUAUCUUAAUUAGAAUACUUUCUAUAGUGGGGGAAAUACCCUCCUUCCUUCAAAUAUUAAAAAUGCACUAGCUAUACUAAUAAAAGAGGACAAGAGCAUUAGGGAUUAGCAGAAAGUAUUGUAGCUGAGAGCAAAAGGUAUCCACAUAGGAUACUGGGCCAAAGCAAAAAUCAAAAAUAGAUUUUUAAGGUGGGAAAUGUCUUUGUUAGCUCUAAAAUAGUGUUGUUUCAUGCUUUGUCUUUGUAGAUUAGUAUUAUUCCUUAAAGAGUCUAGAUGUGUGCUGUCCAGUAACCAUGGGUGGCUACUUAAAUUUAAGUUUAAGUGAAUUAAAAUUAAAUAAAAUCUAAAAAUCAGUUCCUCAGUUGCAGUAGCCACAUUUCAAUUUCUCAGUAGUCACAUGUGGCUUAGUGGCUAGCAGGAGGGAUGUGCAGAUAUAGAGCAUUUCCAUUAUCACAGAAAGUUCUAUUGGACAGCGCUGGGACAAUUAGUAUAUCUCGCUUCUUACUCUAAUUAUUGGUUUCAACCUUCAGAAAGCCACGCUGAAAUUGAUAAUGGAAAAGAAAAUGCGAGAGAUCUCUGUGAGUCUUUCCAGCAUAUUCUGUAUUUUUGAUUUCAUGCCAAUGAAACAGUUUUUCAUCAACCUGUACACAUAGAGCCAUCUUAUUCUUAAGCAUAUGUAACCCAAGAGAGUGAUUUCGUCUCAAUCUGAAUUCUCCAGUUACGUACAUAUUGAAGGUGGUAUUAAGAGUUUGGGGAUAAUUGCUAAUUAGAACUAAGUUAUCCAUGAGCUAUUUUCAGAAGGGUGCAAAAAACAAGUAAUUUAAUUUUUCUCUUAGUACUGCCCCUCAAACCCAUUCUGACAGCUCUUCCUUCCAUUCCCUUGGAUAAUAUCUAGAGAAGAACCAUUAAUUUGCAAUUACUUCUGAGCAUUAAUGAACAAGCCUCGUUUUCCAAUAUUAAAGGUCCAUUGCAAUGUAAUUUGAAACUUCAAAUACUCAUCCAAUUCAUGGCUUCUCUUCUCCUCACAGCAGUGUUGCUGCCCAUGCCCAAGAUGGGGGUUAAUCAGCCUGCAGUGCAAAAAGGGGGGAGAAAUUGAUGUGUCCUCUUCCAUGCUUCACUUCCUCACCUUCCUUGAGCUGCUAUUUCUAGCUCCUUCCGGGGAAGGAACGAGGUCAAAGUGGGAUUAGGGGAAAAGGAAGAAAAGUAGUUGGUGCUGCCAUUUGCUAGCUUUGGGUCUUCUGAUAGCAGAUGCCCACAUGCAAGCCUUUUCUCUUCUAGGGACCUUCGUGGGUUCGUAGCCAAUCCCACAGUGGUCCUCUGACGUAGAUCAUUCCCUUUUCUUCACUGCCAACCACUCCCUCCUCACUCCUGGUUCCGGUAGUAAACUCUGCACAGCCUCUUUCUGUGGGGUCACCUUACCUCCACAGGUAAUCAUUUUGAAGAAGUCCUUUGGGGAAAGUCUUUUGGAGAAAGCUAACACCAGUUACAUUCCUUGCUUCCUAUCAGGAAGUGUAGGAAUAUAUAUAAGAAGUGUAAAAUAUAUUAUACAUACAUAUAUAUAUAUACACACAUAUAUAUAUAUGCAGGUUCAUUUGUCAAUUCUCACUCAGUGUGUCCUCUUCACUAUCUCAUAGGUAUUUCAAAAUGAAACUUUUCAUACAUUGCCCUCCUGACCUGUUUUUCUCCCAGACUUCCCCUUCUCAACAACUAUGACCACCAUACGUCUGAUUGUUUAAGCCGGCUGUCUUCAUUGAUUCCUCCUUCUUCCUCAUCAUUACCACUCUUGGUGCUAGAUCCAUCCCGAGUCAUUUAUUUCUUCCUCUAAAAAUUCUUGAUUUUUCUCAGCAUCUCUUCUAACAUCAGGUUAGUUCACAGUACUAUCAUCUAUUAACUGGCCUAUGUGGCAACUGGUUUGCUGGUCUCAAUCUUUAGCCUCUCAAAUCCGUGCUGCACAACGCCACCAGUGUGACUUUUGCAAACAUAAAUCUGAACAUGCUGCUUCUCUGCUUAAAACCCUCCAUUGCUUCCCAUUAUACUUCUAGUACAAUCUAAAAUCCUCAUCAUGGCCUAUGGUGGCCCACACAUUCAUGAAUAAUCUCUGGCUCCUGCUUACUUCUUAGGGCUCAUCUAUUUUUGUUGCCUGCUUUUCUACUAUGCUCUAGCCAUGCUGGUUUCUUUUAAUUCUUAGAGCUUGUCAAAUUGUUUCCCACUUUGGAGAUUUUGAACAUUCAUUUCCAUCUAAUUGGAACGUAUGCUUUCUCUAUUCUAUGUGGCUUGCCUUUUUUAAAACAGAAUCCUUUAGAACUCAACUUAAAUAUUCUUUCCAUCAAGGUCUUCCUAAGUGACUUAACUGUCUUUGCUAUCUGUCCCUUCACCCUGUUCAUUUACUUCAGAAUGUUGAAAAUUGGUUGUAAGUAUAUUUUGUUUAUUCAUUUAUCCACUAAUCUUUAAAUUCCAUUUUAACACUGUUUUGUUUAUCUAUUCCACUAGUCUGUAAGAUAGAUAGAAACAGAGAUCAUAUCUGACUCGUUUAUCCCUUUACACUAUCUAGGACAAUGUAAGUGGUCAAUAAAUAUUUGUUGACUAAAUGAAUGGAUCAAGAGGUGACCAAUAUCUCUUUUUUUUAGCUACUAUUUUUAAAAAAUCCUUGAUUAUUAAAAAUAAAGUUAUUACUGAAUUAAUUUUUGCUAAGCUUAAUUUUUCCAAAUAUUAGGGAAAUAAGAGGACUUUGGAGUUUAAAUGUUGAUAAAACUGGCUCAGUUUAAUCAUAUCUGCAGGAAAUAUCCAUCUUUAGAGAGGGAGCCACCAAGAAGAGACAACAAUCCACCUAAAUAGUAGAAUUUAGAUUAGAUGCAGCAAGGCUUGAGAGCACUUAAAAAAAUGUUUGCCUUUAGGGAACUGAGUCUACACAGUGUUUUUCUAGUCCAAAAGCAACUGUAGCCUUAAGUGAAAAAACUACCUUGUCUACAUUUCUAAUUAUAUCCUCUACAAUUGGAUUCUCCCCAUGAUGACACCUGACACAGCAUUUAAAGGGGGACUUUGGCCAACAGGCAAUUGAUGAGGAAGCAGCUAGAAUAUAUUAAAAACAAAAUAAUACUGGGGACUUAGACAUAGGCAAAAAGGUGGCAAAUGUAGUAGUUAAUUACAUAAGUAUCCCUGAAAAUGCUGGGCAGAUGCAAUAACCCUUCACAGUUAAAUGGAAACCAUAUGGAAGAGUUCACCAGUGAUUAUUUACAGACUGAGGGAAGGGGUAUUUGCAUGAGAUUGUGUUGGAGCAAAGAGUAAGAAGCGAUGGAAGAGUGUGUUCCUCAAAAAAGAAUAAUGGGAUGGAAAGAGGAUAUCUAAAAAAUAUGCGUCUGAAGUGGGGGCCACACAGGGGAGAAAGGAAAUUAGACUGAUAACUCUAUAAUAUUAGGUUUCAAUUUUUCUCAAGUACAUUUUUGCUAAAACAAAGAUCUUGAUUUCCUAGGAUAUAACCCAGAAGGUCAUAUAGUUGAAGUUAAGUAAGCCAUUUUAAAACAGAUGGAUAGAUGGCUAAAUGAUAUAAUGAAUAAGCAAUGGGUGUGCCAGGGACAAAUAGGGACAAGGGCUAGUGCUCUGUCUCCCUCCAGCAUCUAUGCAAACAUUACUAAUCAUUCACACUGGUCUUCCCUACUAAGGUUGGAUUUGGACUCCAUCUUUAAAACUUUCUCAACACAGUGCUCCAAGCUCCUUCUACUAAUGUGUGAGAGGUCUAAUUUCAGUUUCCUCCGCAAGCAAUUGAGAAAGCAAAGCACCCAGGCUGAUCCUCUCCUUUCAAGGGCAGCAUUGUUUGCAUACUCCUAAAUUAUGUGCUUAAUUGUUGUUACUCAGCAUUUUAGCUGAAGCUAGGUGAAAGAGAGAAUAUCUCUUUGCUUGGGCUGUGAAUUCCAACUAACUUUCGAUAAAUCAUUGAAUAUAUUCCCCCAGAUUCAUAAUCUCAUGAACUCACAUAAGACGUUUGAUUAAGUUUUAGAACUGUUAUUGUUUUUCAAUGAAUGAAAUAUUAUACAUAUAUGAAAUAUAAAACAUUGAUGUAUGCAAUUGACAAUAAUAGUUCCCAUAUACUUUUAUCUUUUUAUGGCAUGUGGUAAUAAUAGAAACAUAUUUGUUUGUUCAAGAUAAUGUGAGUUGCUUAUAACAAGUACAGGAUAAAUUGUUGGUCAUUUACUUCUCUUUAUUUACUUGCUAAUGAGAGAUAUACCACAAUUUGGCAAGUUCCGCAGUGCAACAUUGGUGAUGGUCCACUGAGUGGCAUGAGAUGGAAGCCUCUCAAUCACCAAGGCCUACUCUCAAAGCAAGCUCUGAAACCUUUUGUUUGAAAAGCUAGAAAUAAUACUCUCCCCUUAUUCCAGAUAUCAACAAAGAACAAACAAAAGCCAAAUCUUUUCUAAAAUCCUCUUAAACAUCUCAGAUCAGGACUGUCAGCUGAGCCUAUUGUUGCUUAGAGAUUUAGAGGUUUCAGGGGAGACUCCAAGAGAAGGAACACUGUCUGCUUUAACAGCUCUGACUUAAAAAAAAAAUUUUUUUCUCAGCCAGCUCACCCGCAAGAGGCAUCUAUCUAGGGAUGAGACGAAGGGGUGUCAGAACAGAGCUAUCCAUCAGAAUAUGACUUAGGGGAAAAGACUAUUCAUAGUUAGAAAAAUAAAGUAAUUGAAGUCCGCAGAAUGAAGAGUAGGACAGACAUUAUAUGUGCUAACGGAGAUAGCAGGGCUCAGUGGGGAGUACUUGCAAGUGCAGAUGUGUUUCACAUUCCAUUCCCAGGGAAUGUGCUGUUUGAGUUGUUUGUUUGCUUAUUUUUAAAUUUAAUUUAUUUUGCGACAGCUCUGUGGUUAUCAUUUCAGUCUCUUCUUUCCUGUUUUAGUGUACCUGGGGUGCUACUGAUCAAGAAAGUGAAGGCAUGUUCCUGGCCUCCAGCAGGGCUGAGGGCCCUGUGACACACUCUGAGGCUCCCUGGCCAGGGAUGGAGCAGGGCUGGGAGCCACCCACAGGCAGUGUUUCCUCUGCCAGGUCACAGACACUGGUCCCUGCUCACGCGGGAUCUUACAGUGUCAGAAAGUGUAAUUCCAACUUCUUGUUCACAACAUUGCUUUCUAUUUCAGGGAACUGGACUGUGGGUUUGCCACUAAAAAGGCUGGAGACUCCUGCCCUAGAUCCUUCUUGCCAAUGAAACUUUGGCUCCAAUCAGUGAUGAUGAACUGGGGUUGACCAUUGCCUUUAAAAUCCAUUUUGCAGAGCUUUAAAGGGGAGGGAAGUGAGUUAAGUGAGAUGAUAUGAGUUCUGGUAGAUAAAGACGUGAGUAGAGAAAUUACAGCCGAAUUAAAAUUCUGUGUUCUUAUUUCCCACUUGCAUGCCUCAUCUGAUGUCUCAUAGGAGGUGUCCUCGUUUUCCCAUUCUCAUCUCUUUUUUUUUUAAUGUAAUGAAAUGUUCAAUAGAAUAUUUAGAAUCAUAAUCCUUAUUAUGGUUGCAGAAUAUUCUUUAUGUAUGACCUAAUGGCAAGUGAUAAAAGCCAAAUCAGUAUUUAAUAAUUUCCAGUCAAUUCCUGUGUUCGGGGUUCACCUAGGUAUGAACUUUUCAGAAGUUUAUACAUAUUCAGAGUAAGUGGAAAAUUAGUUCUCUUUCUCUUUCCUUGAGCCUCUGUCACUUCCUCAUUGUCAUUUUAUCAUUUUUUAUUCCAUUGCCCAGUUUCAGUUUAAAUCCAUCUCCAUCAAACUGAAACUUCUAAUUUAAGACUUUCAUUACUUCUAGGUAAAAACUACCAAAAAAAAUGAUAUGGAAGCUUAAGUGCAUAAAAAGAGAAACUGUUUAUGAAGAGGCACUAAAUAAACAAACGUAGAAACAUUCAGAAAGAAGAUGGGGUAUUUCAGACACUACUUGGUAGGACAAGCUGCCACCUGAUGUUUCACAUGAGGAUCCUGAGCACUGAGAAAUGCAGAGAAGAAAGACAGAUGACCCUGAGCACCAUGUUCUUCAACUAGGCGGAGUUAACCUGAAAAUGCCUCAGGAUGUUUAACCUCUGAAUGACUUCUGGGAAUUGUCUGAGGGCCCACGGGUAUUGUGAGAUGGUGCACGCGGACCAGCAAUCCUAUGGAGAAAAG
Equus caballus (horse) is the source of this 14389-nucleotide long non-coding RNA. The record is from Ensembl. NCBI's taxonomy places the organism in Eukaryota, Metazoa, Chordata, Mammalia, Perissodactyla, Equidae.